CAGGUUCCCAACAGGGGGCUAUAAUCUUUCAAACAGUAAAAUUAUUGUUUUGUAUGUUCAACUUAUGCUCACACAUGAAAAUGUUGGCUCUCAUGAAAUGGUGCAGAAUUUAUUGUCUGUAACAGUGCAUUUACAAGCACUACAAAACAAGGUCAUUACAAAACAUAAUUUUUCCCAGUACAAAGCAAAGUUGCAGUAUUACUAUUAAACAAUAUAAUUUGUCAACUGUAAAAAAACAUUGAUAGCCUAUAAAUUAAGCUAUAUAUUGCAUGAAAUUUAAGGCAAAACAAGGUGGAGAACUAACAUUUCCAGCUAUUAUAUUAUCACUUUGUCAUUAUUAAAUAGUAUUAAAAUACAAUAUGUCAUUAUUAAAUACAUUUAGUAUAAAAUACAAUAUUUUUACAUAAAUUAAGAGCCUUUGAUGAAAUUGAUAUAAAAUCAAUAAAGUAAGUCUAUUAAAUAUAGUAUAUUAUAAAAUAAUUUAUAUUUUAU
Paramuricea clavata is the source of this 492-nucleotide non-coding RNA. The record is from the annotation of a GenBank genome assembly. Lineage: Eukaryota; Metazoa; Cnidaria; Anthozoa; Malacalcyonacea; Plexauridae.